RNAcentral lists this ribosomal RNA (253 nucleotides) under uncultured bacterium. RNAcentral's name for it is "partial 16S ribosomal RNA". It matches the Rfam family "Bacterial small subunit ribosomal RNA", at positions 30 to 275 of the family's 1533-position model. The record is from RNAcentral.
AUUGAACGCUAGCGGGAUGCCUUACACAUGCAAGUCGAACGGCAGCGGGAAGUAGCUUGCUACUUUGCCGGCGAGUGGCGAACGGGUGAGUAAUGUAUCGGAACGUGCCCAGUAGCGGGGGAUAACUACGCGAAAGCGUGGCUAAUACCGCAUACGCCCUACGGGGAAAGGGGGGGACGUCUUCGGAGCCUCUCACUAUUGGAGCGGCCGAUAUCGGAUUAGCUAGUUGGUGGGGUAAAGGCCUACCAAGGCG